This 63-nucleotide transfer RNA is filed under the name Niptus hololeucus. RNAcentral describes it as "tRNA-His". Lineage: Eukaryota; Metazoa; Arthropoda; Insecta; Coleoptera; Ptinidae. The record is from RNAcentral.
GCUUAAGUAGUUUAAUUUAAAACAUUGAUUUGUGGUGUCAAAGAUACUUUUUGGUUUUAGGCA